RNAcentral lists this ribosomal RNA (368 nucleotides) under uncultured organism. RNAcentral's name for it is "bacterial SSU rRNA". It matches the Rfam family "Bacterial small subunit ribosomal RNA", at positions 526 to 896 of the family's 1533-position model. The record is from RNAcentral.
CGGAGGGUGCAAGCGUUAUCCGGAUUCACUGGGUUUAAAGGGUGCGUAGGAGGGCAGGUAAGUCAGUGGUGAAAUCUCCAAGCUUAACUUGGAAACUGCCGUUGAUACUAUCUGUCUUGAAUACCGCGGAGGUGAGCGGAAUAUGUCAUGUAGCGGUGAAAUGCUUAGAUAUGACAUAGAACACCAAUUGCGAAGGCAGCUCGCUACACGAAUAUUGACUCUGAGGCACGAAAGCGUGGGGAUCAAACAGGAUUAGAUACCCUGGUAGUCCACGCCCUAAACGAUGGAUACUCGACAUACGCGAUACACAGUGUGUGUCUGAGCGAAAGCAUUAAGUAUCCCACCUGGGAAGUACGACCGCAAGGUUG